AAAUUAUAAAGACAUGAAGUGUGAACUUUAACAUCUACUGCUCGGCUAUGUUCUAUUCCUGAAUGAAUCUUUCCAGUCAGAUCUUUUCAAUGAAUCAGUCGAACUAUUUGACAAAACUGAGCUGAAUGAUUUGAUCAUAAAUUCAACUGAUUGAUGAUAGCACACUAGGCCUAUAUCUGCAAGAUGUCUGUUAAAGAUCACUUAAUCUGGAAGCAUCUGAUGUGUCAGUUUUGCUAACAUUCUAAAUCAUAAACAUCUUAAAGACAUUUUCGAAAUGUCUAUUUGAUUGGAAACGUCCUAUUGAUAUAUUGGAUACAGCGCUUAGCUUGUUAUUCAAAGACUGAUGUUAUUCAACAGAUGAAACAUGCAAUUUCUAAAGUUUCUAAUGUUUAUUUCCCCUAAUCUUUCCAGAAGCAAAAACCUAUUUGAAUAAAUAUUCAAGUCAUACACCCAAUGGAAGACAUUGUGCCCCCAUUAGUGUUUUUCGCAGUGGCCGUUUCUGUGUUGAUCAUCUUCUACUGCGUGGCCAAAAGAUUAAUAAGACAUGCGCAGCAUGUGCAGUCAAAUACUACAGUCACGACUACACAACACCCACAAUACUCAUAUCAACAGCCUUUGGCUAAUCACAUACAGCCAGCGUAUGGGGCACAUCCCAUUCUGACUGGACCAUAUCAGCAAACUUAUGUCCCGGGACCACCACCCACAUAUCAGGAGGCGGCAGGUCUGUUUCCUGCUCCCUUCAGCCAGGCUGCAUAUGACGGUGGUCAGAUCAUGUACCCUCCACAAGCACCGGUUCAACCAGCGCUUCCCACAAACUACACUUCGACUCAUGUGGAAUCGCCAAAGACCAGUUAG
Molecule: long non-coding RNA, 855 nt
Filed under: Carassius auratus (goldfish)
Lineage: Eukaryota; Metazoa; Chordata; Actinopteri; Cypriniformes; Cyprinidae
Description: lncRNA (ENSCARG00000058468.1)
Source: RNAcentral